AAGGCUGAGCUGUGAUGGGGAAGCUCCUUAUGGAGCGAAGUCUUUGAUUCCCCGCUGCCAAGAAAAGCUUCUAGCGAGAUAAAAGGUGCCUGUACCGCAAACCGACACAGGUAGGCGAGGAGAGAAUCCUAAGGUGUGCGAGAGAACUCUGGUUAAGGAACUCGGCAAAAUGACCCCGUAACUUCGGGAGAAGGGGUGCUUUCUUAACGGAAAGCCGCAGUGAAUAGGCCCAAGCGACUGUUUAGCAAAAACACAGCUCUCUGCGAAGCCGUAAGGCGAAGUAUAGGGGGUGACACCUGCCCGGUGCUGGAAGGUUAAGGAGAGGGGUUAGCGUAAGCGAAGCUCUGAACUGAAGCCCCAGUAAACGGCGGCCGUAACUAUAACGGUCCUAAGGUAGCGAAAUUCCUUGUCGGGUAAGUUCCGACCCGCACGAAAGGUGUAACGAUUUGGGCACUGUCUCAACCAGAGACUCGGUGAAAUUAUAGUACCUGUGAAGAUGCAGGUUACCCGCGACAGGACGGAAAGACCCCGUGGAGCUUUACUGUAGCCUGAUAUUGAAUUUUGGUACAGUUUGUACAGGAUAGGCGGGAGCCAUUGAAACCGGAGCGCUAGCUUCGGUGGAGGCGCUGGUGGGAUACCGCCCUGACUGUAUUGAAAUUCUAACCUACGGGUCUUAUCGACCCGGGAGACAGUGUCAGGUGGGCAGUUUGACUGGGGCGGUCGCCUCCUAAAGUGUAACGGAGGCGCCCAAAGGUUCCCUCAGAAUGGUUGGAAAUCAUUCGUAGAGUGCAAAGGCAUAAGGGAGCUUGACUGCGAGACCUACAAGUCGAGCAGGGACGAAAGUCGGGCUUAGUGAUCCGGUGGUUCCGCAUGGAAGGGCCAUCGCUCAACGGAUAAAAGCUACCCCGGGGAUAACAGGCUUAUCUCCCCCAAGAGUCCACAUCGACGGGGAGGUUUGGCACCUCGAUGUCGGCUCAUCGCAUCCUGGGGCUGUAGUCGGUCCCAAGGGUUGGGCUGUUCGCCCAUUAAAGCGGUACGCGAGCUGGGUUCAGAACGUCGUGAGACAGUUCGGUCCCUAUCCGUCGUGGGCGUAGGAAAUUUGAGAGGAGCUGUCCUUAGUACGAGAGGACCGGGAUGGACGCACCGCUGGUGUACCAGUUGUUCUGCCAAGGGCAUAGCUGGGUAGCUAUGUGCGGAAGGGAUAAGUGCUGAAAGCAUCUAAGCAUGAAGCCCCCCUCAAGAUGAGAUUUCCCAUAGCGUAAGCUAGUAAGAUCCCUGAAAGAUGAUCAGGUUGAUAGGUUCGAGGUGGAAGCAUGGUGACAUGUGGAGCUGACGAAUACUAAUAGAUCGAGGACUUAACCAUAUAA
RNAcentral lists this ribosomal RNA (1367 nucleotides) under Bacillus cereus. RNAcentral describes it as "partial 23S ribosomal RNA". It matches the Rfam family "Bacterial large subunit ribosomal RNA", at positions 1552 to 2925 of the family's 2925-position model. RNAcentral also lists the same sequence under 4 other names. The record is from RNAcentral. Lineage: Bacteria; Bacillati; Bacillota; Bacilli; Caryophanales; Bacillaceae.